AAAACUUUGCUUUGCUCUUAUCCAUUCUCAUUCGAGACAAAAUUAGCAUCAAAAGUUCAAAACAGAAAAUGGUGAUCAGAAGAAAAGCAGCUCUCAGCCUCUUAUGGAUAUUAACGGCGUUAACUGUACACCUCGUGAUUGUCGCCGGCGAGUAUUUCAAGCCGUUCAAUGUUACCUACGAUCACCGUGCUCUCAUCAUCGCCGGCAAACGCCGUAUUCUUAUCUCCGCUGGCAUUCACUACCCUCGCGCCACUCCUGAGGUCUUUAAUAUUUCCCUAAAUUUUUUUUUUUGUUAUUAAUCUUUUCCUCUGAAUUUGCUGCUCUCUUGUGUAGUUUGACCUGAGACCUGAGUUUAAGAAAAAAGAAAAAGAAAAGAAUGCAAACAUUCGGCACAUAAUUUUAAUAUAUAUAUAUAUAUAUAUAUAUAUAUAUAUAUAAAACAUACUUCAACAUACUAUAUCAUAACUAUAUUAAGAAUAUUAAUCAAGGGCUAAAAUGGAAACUCAAAAAGUAAAUACUUUCCAAAAACAAUUAUAAAGAAAGAAAAUAAAGAAAUGUGGAGUAUGUUGUAUUGGAGUGAUGAGUUAUAGUUCCAUGGAAUUGAAAAUAAUAAAAAAGAUUAAGUAAAAAGUAGCUGCUAUGUGGAUUAUUCUUUGGAUUCAUGGGGAAUUAAGAAGGAAAUAAUGGUAAAGAAAACAUUUUUCUUAUAACAUUUUCCUUAAAUAAAUUUCUAGGGAAACAUUAAUUUGCUUUGUCUACAACAACAACAACAACUACCCAGUAUAUUCCACCAGGUGGGGUCUGGGGAGGGUAAUAUGUAGACGAGCCUUACCCCUGCCCGAAAGGGCCUCAUUAAAUACGCGCAAAAUAUUAAAUUAGAACCCUCCUCUUUCAUAAAGUUGAAAUCUUGGGCCAUGAUAGUAACGGGACAACCUCACUAACUCCUACCCCCCCCCCCCUGGCCCCGACAUAUUUAUAUAUAUUUUGAGAAAGCAAAAAAAAAAAAACUUUGCUUUGCUCUUAUCCAUUCUCAUUCGAGACAAAAUUAGCAUCAAAAGUUCAAAACAGAAAAUGGUGAUCAGAAGAAAAGCAGCUCUCAGCCUCUUAUGGAUAUUAACGGCGUUAACUCUACACCUCGUGAUUGUCGCCGGCGAGUAUUUCAAGCCGUUCAAUGUUACCUACGAUCACCGUGCUCUCAUCAUCGCCGGCAAACGCCGUAUUCUUAUCUCCGCUGGCAUUCACUACCCUCGCGCCACUCCUGAG
RNAcentral lists this long non-coding RNA (1263 nucleotides) under Nicotiana benthamiana. Its description in RNAcentral is "long non-coding RNA (NBEN_LNC037467)". The record is from RNAcentral. Lineage: Eukaryota; Viridiplantae; Streptophyta; Magnoliopsida; Solanales; Solanaceae.